UACGUAGGGGGCAAGCGUUGUCCGGAAUUAUUGGGCGUAAAGAGCGUGUAGGCGGUCCGGUAAGUCAGCUGUGAAAGUCAAGGGCUCAACCCUUGAAUGCCGGUUGAUACUGUCGGGCUAGAGUCCGGAAGAGGCGAGUGGAAUUCCCGGUGUAGCGGUGAAAUGCGCAGAUAUCAGGAGGAACACCGGUGGCGAAGGCGGAUCUCUGGGCCUUACCUGACGCUGAGGAGCGAAAGCAUGGGGAGCAAACAGG
This 253-nucleotide ribosomal RNA is filed under the name uncultured bacterium. Its description in RNAcentral is "partial 16S ribosomal RNA". It matches the Rfam family "Bacterial small subunit ribosomal RNA", at positions 524 to 776 of the family's 1533-position model. The record is from RNAcentral.